UGUAACCCCAACACUUUUUGGAGGCUGAGGUGAGCGUAUACUCGAGCCUGGGAGUUUGAGACCAGCCUGGGCAACAUAGGGAGAUCCUGCCUCCACAAAAAUAAUAAAAAAUAUUAGCUAGGCUUCGUGGUGCACACCUGUGGUCUCAGCUACUUGGGAGGCUGAGGUGGGAGGAUCACCCACCUCAAGCCCGGGGGGUUGAGGCUGUCAUGAGUCAAGAUUGCACCACUGUACUCCAGCUUGAGUGACAGAGUGAGACCCUGUCUCAUAAACAAACAAAAAAAUCAGGAUAUUUUACAUAGGAAUUUAAAUAUUUGACCUCUUCUAGAAAAUCAAGCGCGUGGCAACUCUGGGCCUAUUGCCGCGUGUUCCUCAGCCAUCGCUCGGGCCAGGGCCUGGGUGCGCAGGCUGUCCCCUGCCCCGUAGGCCCCCAGCCUAGUUCAAUAGUCAAGCAUUUUGAAGAGAAUGAAUGAAAUCCAGUUCUUGACAGUCCUAAAGGAAGACUUGAAGUCUAUGAAGUUGAGCAGUUUCCAGGUUUACCUGGAUUCUGGGCAAACACAGUCUGAGAAGUAGCUGGGGCUCCAGGCAAGUGCUCAGGGGGCAUCUCUGCAGGGGAACUGCCAGGCUUCCGGGAGGGCUGGCCUCGCCCCCAAGGCCUCAGCGCCAUGCUUGUCUUGGCAGAAUCACCUCCACUGUGGCCUGCGACAUGGACCUGGCCAAAUACCCCAUGGACGAGCAGGAGUGCAUGCUGGACCUGGAGAGCUGUGAGUGGGUGUGCAAAGCGGGCAGGGGCUUCUCUCGGGGGGAGCCACGCUGGCUUCUCCAGCAGUGGAUGGGGGCUCAGACUGUCAGCCCGGGGCCUGGACAAGGCUGGCCCGGCUCAGGGUGCAGGAAAGCACCAAACCAGCUUCUGCAUGAGCAAGAAGCCUGGGCAGGAGGAGAAGGGGCCAGAAGGCCUGGAGCAGUCUGGCUUGUGGGUCUGUGCCCUGCCUGGGGAGCCGGGCCGUGGAGCCCAUACAUGGCACAUAUUGAUAUUGUUGAGCCAGUGCAGCAGCCCCUGUGUGUCACCUGACAACGGUGACCCCAUCUGUGUCCCAUCCACCUGCCCGGAGGAGCCCAACAUGGUCCCAGAGCCGAAGUCCUCCUUGCUCCUGGCUGGGGUCCUGCUCGGUCCCCAUCACAAUGGUGUCGGCCCCGUGCAGGCUUCCUGUGUGGACGGAGCGCUCCUGCCAGGGCUCCCGGGGCGGGGCCAGGCUCUGCCGCCCACCUGUGUGCUUUUCCUCCAGACGGUUACUCAUCAGAGGACAUCGUCUACUACUGGUCGGAGAGCCAGGAGCACAUCCAUGGGCUGGACAAGCUGCAGCUGGCGCAGUUCACCAUCACCAGCUACCGCUUCACCACGGAGCUGAUGAACUUCAAGUCCGCCGGCCAGUUCCCACGGCUCAGCCUGCACUUCCAGCUGCGGAGGAACCGCGGCGUGUACAUCAUCCAGUCCUACAUGCCCUCUGUCCUGCUGGUCGCCAUGUCCUGGGUCUCCUUCUGGAUCAGCCAGGCGGCGGUGCCCGCCAGGGUGUCUCUAGUGCCCGCUCCUCCCUGCCGCGGGCGUCAGCCAUCAAGGCACUGGACGUCUACUUCUGGAUCUGCUAUGUCUUCGUGUUUGCCGCCCUGGUGGAGUACGCCUUUGCGCAUUUCAACGCCGACUACAGGAAGAAGCAGAAAGCCAAGGUCAAGGUCUCCAGGCCGAGGGCAGAGAUGGACGUGAGGAAUGCCAUUGUCCUCUUCUCCCUCUCUGCUGCCGGCGUCACGCAGGAGCUGGCCAUCUCCCGCCGGCAGCGCCGCGUCCCGGGGAACCUGAUGGGCUCCUACAGGUCGGUGGGGGUGGAGACAGGGGAGACGAAGAAGGAGGGGGCAGCCCGCUCGGGAGGCCAGGGGGGCAUCCGUGCCCGGCUCAGGCCCAUCGACGCAGACACCAUUGACAUUUACGCCCGCGCUGUGUUCCCUGCGGCGUUCGCCGCCGUCAAUGUCAUCUACUGGGCGGCGUACGCCAUGUGAGCGCAGGACU
This 2062-nucleotide small RNA is filed under the name Pongo abelii (Sumatran orangutan). RNAcentral's name for it is "retained intron". Lineage: Eukaryota; Metazoa; Chordata; Mammalia; Primates; Hominidae. The record is from RNAcentral.